GGGCCCGCACAAGCGGUGGAGCAUGUGGUUUAAUUCGAUGAUACGCGAGGAACCUUACCAGGGCUUAAAUGUUAGGUGACAGAUCUAGAAAUAGAUUUUUCUUCGGACACUUAACAAGGUGCUGCAUGGUUGUCGUCAGCUCGUGCCGUGAGGUGUCAGGUUAAGUCCUAUAACGAGCGCAACCCCUGUUGUUAGUUGCCAGCGAGUAAUGUCGGGAACUCUAGCAAGACUGCCAGUGCAAACUGUGAGGAAGGUGGGGAUGACGUCAAAUCAUCACGGCCCUUACGUCCUGGGCUACACACGUGCUACAAUGGUAGGUACAGAGAGCAGCCAAUGCGCGAGCAUGAGCAAAUCUAUAAAACCUAUCUCAGUUCGGAUUGGAGUCUGCAACUCGAGUGCAUGAAGCUGGAAUUGCUAGUAAUCGC
RNAcentral lists this ribosomal RNA (425 nucleotides) under uncultured bacterium. RNAcentral's name for it is "bacterial SSU rRNA". It matches the Rfam family "Bacterial small subunit ribosomal RNA", at positions 917 to 1345 of the family's 1533-position model. The record is from RNAcentral.